UUCUUUGAUUCCUCUCAUUCGUUUCUCCUCUGUGUGGUUCUUCCAUUGAAGAGUUUUAACAGACAUUAUUAGGAAGAUAUUUUAUAAUUACGUUUCCUGGAAGGAAAGAGAGAGAGAGCUCCAUAUACUGGGGACUUAAACAUUCCACACAGUGAUGACUGAAAAUGCCUCUGAGAGAACAGGGUUCUGAUUCUCUGUUUAGGCAACACUUUAACUCAGACAUGGCACGAUCAGAGUACAGGGAUCUACUUUUCUGUUGGAACACUGUCCUCUCACUCACUUGCCUGGCUAAUUUCUACUCAUCCUGCAACAAUCAGCUCAAGCACCUACUCUUCUUGGAAUUAAUGACAUGUUCCUGCCUUAACUCACAUGAAUGCCUUCCCCAGAGUCUACCCGUAUUUAGCAAGGUGACCAUCCUCCAAACACCCACAACACCCUCUAUGCCACAGUCCUCAUCUUGCAUUGGAUGAAAUUAUUUGCUUUUUCCACCAGACUUUGAACACUUUCAGAACUUUUCAGCACUUUCUUUUCAUCUUGGAAACCUGGCAUGGAGCUUAGAGCACAGUAGGAUCUAACUAUUUGUUGAAUGACAAAUGAUUGAGGCUGUGAUCAUUCUCUUGCAGCAGAAAAAGACACAGAACCCAUAGUAGGGGACAGGCAUCAUACUGUGUCUUAAAAGUUCCUUCCUGGACCUUCGCUGACCAUGCUGUCCCUGGUGGUACUUUCUGCGGCCUGCACAGCGGCCCCCUCUCUGAAGAAUGCAGCCUUCCUAGGUCCAGGGGUAUUGCAGGCAACAAGGACCUUUCACACAGGGCAGCCACACCUUGCCCCUCUACCGUUUCUUCCUGAAUAUGGAGGAAAAGUUCAUCGUGGAUUGAUCCCUCAGGAAUUCUUCCAGUUUCUUUAUCCUAAAACCAGUGUAACAGGACCCUAUGUGCUUGGAACUGGGCUUAUGUUGUAUGCUUUAUCUAAGAAAUGUAUCUGUUUAUCGCAGACACCUUCUCUACUUUAUCAGUAGUAGGGUUACUUGUCUAUGCAAUUAAAAAAAAUAUGGUGUCUCUGUUGCAGAAUUUGCUCAUAAACUCAAUGAGCAAAAACUUGCCCAACUAGAAGAGGUGAAGGAGGCUUCCAUCAAGCAAGUUCAGGAUGCAACUGAUUUGGAGAACUCAUAGCUGGCACUGGUUCAGAAGCACCAUUACCUUUCUGAUGUGCAGAGGAAUAACACUGCUAUGGCUUUGGCUGUUACUUACUGGGAACGACUUUAUAGAGUAUAUAAGUAAGUCAAGAAUCGCCUGGACUAUCAUAUAUCUGUGUGGAGAAUGAUGCGUGGGAAGGAACAAGAGCACGUGAUAAAUUGGGUGGAGAAGCACGUGGUGCAGAGCAUGUCUGCACAGCAGGGAAAAGAGGCAAUUGCCCAGUGUACUGCGGACCUAAAGCUGCUGGCAAAGAAGGUUCAAGCACACCAGUUAUGUAAAUGUAUCUAUCCCAGUUGAGACAGCUAGAAACAGUUGACUGACUAAAUGGAAACUAGUCGAUUUGACAAAAUCUUUCUGUAUUAGUGUCUACUGAAGUUAUGGUUUACCUCUCCUAAAAAUGAAAAGUUUGUUUCAUAUAGUGAGAGAAUAUCUCUAUCGGCCAGUCAGAUGUUUCUUAUCCCUCUUACUCUGCAUUCGAGUUGUUCUGUGAUCACUUCUGAAUAAGCAGUUUGCCUCUAUAAAAUCUUGCUGCCUGACUAAAGAUUAUCAGGUUAUAAAUUUGUAGUUAAUUCUACCAUCUUGGAAUAAAGUGACAGUUGAA
RNA transcript from Sapajus apella (tufted capuchin), 1797 nucleotides. It is a transcript of the gene named ATP synthase F(0) complex subunit B1, mitochondrial pseudogene, with no coding region annotated. The transcript has a single exon. The record is from RefSeq and is a predicted model, not a curated record. NCBI's taxonomy places the organism in Eukaryota, Metazoa, Chordata, Mammalia, Primates, Cebidae.